This 24-nucleotide non-coding RNA is filed under the name Arabidopsis thaliana (thale cress). The record is from RNAcentral. Lineage: Eukaryota; Viridiplantae; Streptophyta; Magnoliopsida; Brassicales; Brassicaceae.
AGGCUCUUAAGAUCGGGUUGCGGU